GACGAACGCUGGCGGCGUGCUUAACACAUGCAAGUCGAACGGAAAGGCCCUGCUUGCAGGGUACUCGAGUGGCGAACGGGUGAGUAACACGUGGGUGAUCUGCCCUGCACUUCGGGAUAAGCUUGGGAAACUGGGUCUAAUACCGGAUAGGAGCCAUCUUUAGUGUGGUGGUUGGAAAGUUUUUUCGGUGUAGGAUGAGCUCGCGGCCUAUCAGCUUGUUGGUGGGGUAAUGGCCUACCAAGGCGGCGACGGGUAGCCGGCCUGAGAGGGUGUACGGCCACAUUGGGACUGAGAUACGGCCCAGACUCCUACGGGAGGCAGCAGUGGGGAAUAUUGCACAAUGGGCGCAAGCCUGAUGCAGCGACGCCGCGUGGGGGAUGAAGGCCUUCGGGUUGUAAACUCCUUUCGCUAGGGACGAAGCUUUGUUGAGACGGUACCUAGAUAAGAAGCACCGGCUAACUACGUG
This 466-nucleotide ribosomal RNA is filed under the name uncultured bacterium. RNAcentral describes it as "partial 16S ribosomal RNA". It matches the Rfam family "Bacterial small subunit ribosomal RNA", at positions 28 to 507 of the family's 1533-position model. The record is from RNAcentral.